GGUUCAUGAAUCCACUGCCUCCGUCUCUCUUUCUCGCUCUCUCUCUCUCUCUCUCUCUCUCUCUCUCUCUCUCUCUCUCUCCAGUGUUUGUGUGGGCGUGGUUUCCCAAUCUCGGCCUGAUUGUCUGCGCCAGCUGGAACCACUUAUCUUCCCUUUAUAUGUUCUGUUACCAGUGUUUCUUGUUGUCAGAUCGUUGUUUCUUCUCUGAGGUUGUGUCGUGUGUCCGUGCUCUUCUCUUGUGUGGAUUAUCUGCUGUGCUCCUUCCUACUCAUCUGGACACACUCCCCUGGUUUUCUCAGCACGUUAUGAUCGGAAGAUGCGCCCGAGUUCCUGGGUCGGAUUCCUUCUGAGUACAGUCUGUCUGUCAUGUUGCUGCUGUGAACUACAUUCAUUAAAACCAUCGUUGCUUGCAUCUUGCAUCCGCCUCUGUGUUGUAACAGAACGAUCUGACCAGACCAUGGAUGCAGCGAGUUCAACGAGUCUGACCGAAUUCCUUUCCCGCAGUAUCACGAGAAUGGAUCAACAAGAGGAGAACAUCUCCAGCACAGGUCGGGCAGUACAAGCCCUUUCGACGCAGGUAUCCCAGCUGACCCAACAAUUGCAACAUCUGAGGGGUUCCGCUGCGCCACCUACACCGGCAGUUCAACCCGCCCCGCCAGAGCCGGAUUCCCAGCUAGAGCCACGGCUACCGACACCAGAGGGUUAUUCAGGCACGCAUUAACCCGCCGGUCCCGGUUACCCCGCCGCCACGACUUGUUGAUGGGGAAACCACCUUUUCUGUCAAUCGUAUUUUGGACUCUAGAAGGAGGGGACGCGGAUUCCAGUACCUGGUGGACUGGGAGGGUUACGGCCCGGAGGAGAGAAGUUGGGUACCUGCUAGGGACAUUCUGGAUCACUCCCUUAUCGAUGAUUUCAAUCGACAGGUAAAUUCGCCUGGGAACGCCAAGAGGCGUUCCUAGGGGGGUAUUGUCACGGUUCAUGAAUCCACUGCCUCCGUCUCUCUCUCUCUCUCUCGCUCUCUCUCUCUCUCUCUCUCUCUCUCCAGUGUUUGUGUGGGCGUGGUUUCCCAAUCUCGGCCUGAUUGUCUGCGCCAGCUGGAACCACUUAUCUUCCCUUUAUAUGUUCUGUUACCAGUGUUUCUUGUUGUCAGAUCGUUGUUUCUUCUCUGAGGUUGUGUCGUGUGUCCGUGCUCUUCUCUUGUGUGGAUUAUCUGCUGUGCUCCUUCCUACUCAUCUGGACACACUCCCCUGGUUUUCUCAGCACGUUAUGAUCGGAAGAUGCGCCCGAGUUCCUGGGUCGGAUUCCUUCUGAGUACAGUCUGUCUGUCAUGUUGCUGCUGUGAACUACAUUCAUUAAAACCAUCGUUGCUUGCAUUUUG
This is a long non-coding RNA of Oncorhynchus masou masou (cherry salmon), 1378 nucleotides long. RefSeq lists it as uncharacterized. The record is from RefSeq and is a predicted model, not a curated record. Lineage: Eukaryota; Metazoa; Chordata; Actinopteri; Salmoniformes; Salmonidae. The transcript has 2 exons.